AAAAAUACAAGAUUAUGCUCAUAAGAAACCAUAAACCAUCUUGAAAGUCUAUAAUUAAACAAAUUAACAAAAUAAAAUAUAACUUCCAAACGAACAUAAAAUAAAUCAAUAACUUAGCAAAUAAUAAGUUCUCAAAUUGGUAAUCACAUAACAAAACUGUAAUCUACUGUUAGAUAUAAAAAUGACCUAGAUGUGUCCCAUAUCACUUCUUAAUUGGAUGCUUAAAAGAAAUGUCGAACAUAUUUGAUUUUCCUAUCAUUCUUCUCAUUACCAUUAUUGCCUUUCCAUUCCUUGUCAUCUGCCUUCACUUGCAAUGGUGUUUUCUCUUCCCUUUACCUUUCCACAUAGAGGCACAAAAAAAGGGUAGAACAUUCUAUUCUAUAAGAAAAUAGUCCCAAUAAUUGAAUCUAGUAAUAAAAAGUCUAGGAAAAGCAAGACAAAUAAGUGUACACCUUUUUUUUUUUUUUUUUUGAUAGGUACAAAUAAGUGUACACCUUGGCACCCCUAAGGCUAAACCUUGAGGCAGAUACACUCAAGGUAUAAGCUUCGAGGCAUAUAAUGCUAGCCUCACUUGCAGCACACCUUAAGGUUUAAGCCUUAGACAAGUUUUUUCUUAACAAUGAUUUAGUGUUAUUUUCAGGCUAAGAUAGUGGUGGGAUCUCUAAUAAGAC
RNAcentral lists this long non-coding RNA (671 nucleotides) under Olea europaea subsp. europaea. The record is from RNAcentral. Lineage: Eukaryota; Viridiplantae; Streptophyta; Magnoliopsida; Lamiales; Oleaceae.